Molecule: transfer RNA, 62 nt
Filed under: Geisha distinctissima
Lineage: Eukaryota; Metazoa; Arthropoda; Insecta; Hemiptera; Flatidae
Description: tRNA-Leu
Source: RNAcentral
ACUAGUUUGGCAGAUUAAGUGCUUUAGAUUUAGAAUUUAACAAUGUAUUUUUACAAUUAGUA